GCCCUUGUGGCGGAAUUGGUAGACGCGAUAGACUCAAAAUCUAUUACCUUCCAGGUGUGGGAGUUCAAGUCUCCCCGAGGGUACCA
Molecule: transfer RNA, 86 nt
Filed under: Holosporales bacterium
Lineage: Bacteria; Pseudomonadati; Pseudomonadota; Alphaproteobacteria; Holosporales
Description: tRNA-Leu
Rfam family: tRNA
About the family: Transfer RNA (tRNA) molecules are approximately 80 nucleotides in length. Their secondary structure includes four short double-helical elements and three loops (D, anti-codon, and T loops).
Source: RNAcentral